Molecule: non-coding RNA, 95 nt
Organism: Paramarasmius palmivorus
Lineage: Eukaryota; Fungi; Basidiomycota; Agaricomycetes; Agaricales; Marasmiaceae
Source: the annotation of a GenBank genome assembly
UCCCGCCUAGCUCAAUCGGAUAGAGCGUCAGACUCUUAUCCGGAAUAAUGAAUGCGGUGAUCUGAAGGCUGCGAGUUCGACCCUCGCGGUGGGCU